Long non-coding RNA from Oncorhynchus tshawytscha (Chinook salmon), 670 nucleotides. Lineage: Eukaryota; Metazoa; Chordata; Actinopteri; Salmoniformes; Salmonidae. The record is from Ensembl.
ACUAUAUCAGCCAACAGCCCUACAGGUAACACACACACACACACACCAGUACUAUAUCAGCCAACAGCCCUACAGGUAACACACACACACACACCAGUACGAUAUCAGCCAACAGCCCUACAGGUAACACACACACACACACACACCAGUACGAUAUCAGCCAACAGCCCUACAGGUAACACACACACACCAGUACUAUAUCAGCCAACAGCCCUACAGGUAACACACACACACACACACACCAGUACUAUAUCAGCCAACAGCCCUACAGGUAACACACACACACACACACACCAGUACGAUAUCAGCCAACAGCCCUACAGGUAACACACACACACACACCAGUACUAUAUCAGCCAACAGCCCUACAGGUAACACACACACACACACACACACCAGUACUAUAUCAGCCAACAGCCCUACAGGUAACACACACACACACCAGUACUAUAUCAGCCAACAGCCCUACAGGUAACACACACACACACACACACCAGUACUAUAUCAGCCAACAGCCCUACAGGUAACACACACACACACACCAGUACUAUAUCAGCCAACAGCCCUACAGGUAACACACACACACACACCAGUACUGUAGAUGCUAGGCUUAGAUAGCGGUCGUCUGUAGCUAUCGUUAGCUCUAGAUGCUAGGCUUAGAUAGCGGUCG